RNAcentral lists this ribosomal RNA (427 nucleotides) under uncultured bacterium. RNAcentral's name for it is "partial 16S ribosomal RNA". It matches the Rfam family "Bacterial small subunit ribosomal RNA", at positions 355 to 774 of the family's 1533-position model. The record is from RNAcentral.
UGGGGAAUAUUGCACAAUGGGCGCAAGCCUGAUGCAGCCAUGCCGCGUGUAUGAAGAAGGCCUUCGGGUUGUAAAGUACUUUCAGCGGGGAGGAAGGUGUUGUGGUUAAUAACCACAGCAAUUGACGUUACCCGCAGAAGAAGCACCGGCUAACUCCGUGCCAGCAGCCGCGGUAAUACGGAGGGUGCAAGCGUUAAUCGGAAUUACUGGGCGUAAAGCGCACGCAGGCGGUCUGUCAAGUCGGAUGUGAAAUCCCCGGGCUCAACCUGGGAACGGCAUCCGAAACUGGCAGGCUUGAGUCUUGUAGAGGGGGGUAGAAUUCCAGGUGUAGCGGUGAAAUGCGUAGAGAUCUGGAGGAAUACCGGUGGCGAAGGCGGCCCCCUGGACAAAGACUGACGCUCAGGUGCGAAAGCGUGGGGAGCAAACA